This 481-nucleotide long non-coding RNA is filed under the name Homo sapiens (human). RNAcentral's name for it is "HSALNT0077274". Lineage: Eukaryota; Metazoa; Chordata; Mammalia; Primates; Hominidae. The record is from RNAcentral.
UCAGGUCAUUUAAGGACUUCUCUACACUGAUUAUUCUAGUUAGCCAUUCGUCUAAUCUUUUUUCAAGGUUUUUAGCUUCUUUGCAAUGGGUUUGAACUUCCUCCUUUAGCUUGGAGAAGUUUGAUCGUCUGAGGCCUUCUUCUGUCAACUCAUCAAAGUCAUUCUCCAUCCAGGACUCGACUCUCUUUGGCCUACUGGAUGUACAGGAAGUGGUAAAAGCUGUAUGGUGUCUCCUUAGGAAUUGAAAGGCCUUGGGCAAAUCAAUCAGGUCCUGGCUUUCCACAUCAGCAAGUCAAGAUAAUCAUGUUGGCUAAACUUAUUUGAAUACCAUCUGGAUUCACUUACUGGCAAGUGUAAAGUGUUUUCAGAAUACCAAAUAUUAUAUAGGGCAUCCAAGCAGCUUAAAUUUCAGUGCCCUCCAUUCCUUCCCUUCCUGUACUUCAGUCUACUACUGAAUGCAAUGAGAUAUAAUAAAACCAAG